Molecule: long non-coding RNA, 836 nt
Organism: Dermochelys coriacea (leatherback sea turtle)
Lineage: Eukaryota; Metazoa; Chordata; Testudines; Dermochelyidae
Exons: 2
Source: RefSeq, a predicted model, not a curated record
ACACAGCCACUGGAGAGGCCAGAUGCCUAUGGCGGAGCUACUAGCUGGGAGACCACGGCAAUCGGCGACCGACCCAAGGAUUGGCCAGACCAGCCACUGCCUGAAGCUAGCCCAAGCCCGGAGACACUGCCAAGCUUGCCGCUAGCCAUUUACCCCGAGGAGCCGCCAAGCCAACCGUGCACCAGUUACCACGAAGAGCCCAUGGUGUGUGACCCCUUGGAGGACGCCGUCCGGACCCAGGAACGUGUGCGUUAGAAGAUAAGUGUGAAGGCCAUCACAAGACCAGAUGUUCUAAGGAGAAACCGAGGACAGAUGUAUGGGCACCAGGAGGUUGUAAUGCGCCCCUACUGAAAUGUCAGAGGAGGGCAGAUUGACGACUCUAAAGAUGAGACAGGCACCUAUCAAUGGGGACAAGAUAACUAUGAUCAAAAUCAGCAUGGGGUAACUCCCUGAAAGACUUGAUGAAAGAACAAGAUAAAGGAUGAGAAGGACAAUUUAAGAAAACAAGCACUCGUCAAACAACAAUUGAUUACAGCAUGAGGGUGCAAAACUCAUUGGCCCCAAUGAAGGAAAAUCACUAUAUAAACAGGGUGCCUUGCCAUGAAACUUUGGGUUCAUCUUGCCAAGACUUCCCUGGAGCAUUGUGUCACGACGGACAGAACCUGGCUCCUACCUACCCGUGAUCAACCUAGCUGGUCACUAGAUUGAUCUGGACUCUGGACUGUUAACUAUAACAUUGACUGGCGGGACAGUGUGUGAGGGUGUGUGUGAUUGAAUGCAUAUGCUAAUUGUUGUAUCUUCAGUAAAUGCAGCAUAUUGCCUUUUCCCCUGAAAAA